This 342-nucleotide unclassified non-coding RNA is filed under the name soil metagenome. Its description in RNAcentral is "partial contains 5.8S ribosomal RNA, internal transcribed spacer 2, and large subunit ribosomal RNA". The stretch from base 1 to 120 matches the Rfam family "5.8S ribosomal RNA", at positions 35 to 154 of the family's 154-position model. The record is from RNAcentral.
GAUGAAGAACGUAGCGAAAUGCGAUAAGUAAUGUGAAUUGCAGAAUUCAGUGAAUCAUCGAAUCUUUGAACGCACAUUGCGCCCGCUAGUAUUCUGGCGGGCAUGCCUGUUCGAGCGUCAUUUCAACCAUCAAGCCCCCAGGGGCUUGUGCUGGGGCCCUGCGGCUGCCCGCAGGCCCUGAAAACCAGUGGCGGGCUCGCUAGUCACACCGAGCGCAGUAGCACAUCUCGCUCAGGGCGUGCGGCGGGCUCCUGCCGUGAAACCCCCCACUGUAACCCCAAAGGUUGACCUCGGAUCAGGUAGGAAUACCCGCUGAACUUAAGCAUAUCAAUAAGCGGAGGA